AAAACAAGCAAAUAAGUUAAAACUUUCAACAACGGAUCUCUUGGUUCUGGCAUCGAUGAAGAACGCAGCGAAAUGCGAUAAGUAAUGUGAAUUGCAGAAUUCAGUGAAUCAUCGAAUCUUUGAACGCACAUUGCGCCCGCCAGUACUCUGGCGGGCAUGCCUGUUCGAGCGUCAUUUCAACCCUCAAGCCCUGCUUGGUGUUGGGGUCCUACGGCUGCCGUAGGCCCUGAAAGCUAGUGGCGGGCUCGCUAUAACUCCGAGCGUAGUAGUAAAAUAUCUCGCUAGGGAGGUGUCGCGGGUUCCGGCCGUGAAAGCCCAUCUUUUACACAAGGUUGACCUCGGAUCAGGUAGGAAUACCCGCUGAACUUAAGCAUAUCAAUAAGCGGAGGAAAAGAAACCAACAGGGAUUGCCCCAGUAACGGCGAGUGAAGCGGCAACAGCUCAAAUUUGAAAUCUGGCUUCGGCCCGAGUUGUAAUUUGUAGAGGAUGCUUUUGGUGAGGUGCCUUCUGAGUUCCCUGGAACGGGACGCCAGAGAGGGUGAGAGCCCCGUAUAGUUGGACACCGAGCCUCUGUAAAGCUCCUUCGACGAGUCGAGUAGUUUGGGAAUGCUGCUCAAAAUGGGAGGUAUAUCUCUUCUAAAGCUAAAUACUGGCCAGAGACCGAUAGCGCACAAGUAGAGUGAUCGAAAGAUGAAAAGCACUUUGAAAAGAGGGUUAAAUAGUACGUGAAAUUGUUGAAAGGGAAGCGCUUGUGACCAGACUUGUGCCCGGCUGAUCAUCCAGUGUUCUCACUGGU
RNAcentral lists this ribosomal RNA (796 nucleotides) under Sordariomycetes sp. genotype 9. Its description in RNAcentral is "eukaryotic LSU rRNA". The stretch from base 334 to 796 matches the Rfam family "Eukaryotic large subunit ribosomal RNA", at positions 1 to 471 of the family's 3401-position model. The record is from RNAcentral. Lineage: Eukaryota; Fungi; Ascomycota; Sordariomycetes.